Molecule: ribosomal RNA, 432 nt
Filed under: fungal sp. FE-5
Lineage: Eukaryota; Fungi
Description: eukaryotic LSU rRNA
Rfam family: 5.8S ribosomal RNA (bases 101-254)
Source: RNAcentral
CGGGCUGCCGGGGGGCAUCUGCCCCCGGGUCCGCGCUCGCCGGAGACACCUUGAACUCUGUCUGAAGAUUGUAGUCUGAGACAAAAUAUAAAUUAUUUAAAACUUUCAACAACGGAUCUCUUGGUUCCGGCAUCGAUGAAGAACGCAGCGAAAUGCGAUACGUAAUGUGAAUUGCAGAAUUCAGUGAAUCAUCGAGUCUUUGAACGCACAUUGCGCCCUCUGGUAUUCCGGAGGGCAUGCCUGUCCGAGCGUCAUUGCUGCCCUCAAGCACGGCUUGUGUGUUGGGCUCCGUCCUCCUUCUGGGGGGACGGGCCCGAAAGGCAGCGGCGGCACCGCGUCCGGUCCUCGAGCGUAUGGGGCUUUGUCACCCGCUCUGUAGGACUGGCCGGCGCCUGCCGAUCAACCAAACUUUUUUCCAGGUUGACCUCGGAU